Molecule: non-coding RNA, 71 nt
Organism: Parelaphostrongylus tenuis
Lineage: Eukaryota; Metazoa; Nematoda; Chromadorea; Rhabditida; Metastrongylidae
Source: the annotation of a GenBank genome assembly
GCCUCGGUGGUGUAGUGGUAGCCCGAGUCCCCGGUAGGGUUGAAACACGAGUUCGACUCUCGUCUAAGGUU